CUGAUAUUCCCGUACCGGCAGCGAACCGAAACAACCGAGGCCUGGGGCGCUAACCUCCGGGUCCGUGCCGUCUCCCCUUUCGGGGGGUCGCGGCGCGGGCGCGUUGGGAUCCCCCCUCGUAGUAGGUCAGCGCAGGAGUGACGCAUCAGGGCAGCCGGCCGCGGAGGUGGUUUUCCGUGGUCAAGCGUUCGAGCCCGUCCCGCAGGCAAAUCCGCGGGGCGUCGGGGCGAGGCGUGAUGAUGGGGGCCUUACGGCCCGAAUCCGGUGAUCCGUGGUGCCGAGAAAAGCUUCGGCGUCAGGCGCGUUGCCGCCCGUACCCCAAACCGACACUGGUGGUCAGGUAGAGAAUACCAAAGCGAUCGAGCGAAUCCUGGUCAAGGAACUCGGCAAAUUGCUCCCGUGCCUUCGGCAUAAGGGAGACCCCCUGCGGUGAUGAGCGGCGGGGGGUGGCACAGGCCAGGGGGUAGCGACUGUUUACCAAAAACACAGGUGCAUGCGAAGGCGCAAGCCGCUGUAUAUGCACUGACGCCUGCCCGGUGCCGGAAGGUUAAGAGGAUCCGUCAGUCCUUCGGGAUGAAGCGGUGAAUUCAAGCCCCGGUAAACGGCGGUGGUAACUAUAACCAUCCUAAGGUAGCGAAAUUCCUUGUCGGGUAAGUUCCGACCUGCACGAAUGGCGUAACGACUUCCCCACUGUCUCGACCAGGAGCUCGGCGAAAUUGCAGUACGAGUAAAGAUGCUCGUUAAGCGCAGAAGGACGAAAAGACCCCGGGACCUUUACUAUACCUUGGUAUUGGCGUUAGGCGCGGAUUGUGUAGCAUAGGCGGGAGGCUUCGAAGCGUGGGCGCCAGCUCAUGUGGAGCCGCAAGGUGAAAUACCGCUCUGUUCUCGUUUGAUGUCUAACCUCGAACAGUCAUCCUGUUCAGGGACAGUGCCUGGCGGGUAGUUCAACUGGGGCGGUUGCCUCCCAAAGAGUAACGGAGGCGCCCAAAGGUCCGCUCAGCCCGGUUGGCAAUCGGGUGGCGAGUGCAAGUGCACAAGCGGGCUUGACUGCGAGGACGACGGUCCGAGCAGGGACGAAAGUCGGGACUAGUGAUCCGGUGCCGGUGUACGGACGCGGCAUCGCUCAACGGAUAAAAGGUACCCCGGGGAUAACAGGCUGAUCAUUCCCAAGAGUCCAUAUCGACGGGAUGGUUUGGCACCUCGAUGUCGGCUCGUCACAUCCUGGG
This 1226-nucleotide ribosomal RNA is filed under the name human gut metagenome. Its description in RNAcentral is "bacterial LSU rRNA". It matches the Rfam family "Bacterial large subunit ribosomal RNA", at positions 1418 to 2551 of the family's 2925-position model. The record is from RNAcentral.